GCUUUUUGUCAAAUCCAUAGCACAGUUUCAAAUACCUUCAUGGGAGGUUCUUCCUCAGGCUGCUGUUUGCAAGACCCAACACGCUGCCAGGCUUUUUGUCUCCAGCUGGAGGGAAGAAAGUGAAAUGGCUUUUCAGUCAUCAGUCUCUUGACUAAUGGUUACAUGGGACUGGAUGAGCUUUGCAACUUGGUUGAGAUACUGUGGCUUUAUGACUGCAUAAAGGAAGUCCAGGAGCUUGUCUCUCACCACCAAGUCAAGUCUCAUGUUCCACUCCAGAAGGAAUUUCUUUUGUUGGAAUGGCCCAAAACAGGGUUUGGAGAGAUCACUGAUAAUGGAUGAGAAAAGGGAAGAGGAGG
Molecule: long non-coding RNA, 356 nt
Filed under: Cyanistes caeruleus (blue tit)
Lineage: Eukaryota; Metazoa; Chordata; Aves; Passeriformes; Paridae
Description: lncRNA (ENSCCEG00000006688.1)
Source: RNAcentral